ACCAAGGCGACGAUCGGUAGCCGGACUGAGAGGUUGAACGGCCACAUUGGGACUGAGACACGGCCCAGACUCCUACGGGAGGCAGCAGUGGGGGAUAUUGCACAAUGGGGGAAACCCUGAUGCAGCAACGCCGCGUGUGGGAAGAAGGUUUUCGGAUUGUAAACCACUGUUCUUGGUGAAGAUAAUGACGGUACCUGUGCAGCAAGCUCCGGCUAACUAC
This 220-nucleotide ribosomal RNA is filed under the name uncultured bacterium. RNAcentral describes it as "partial 16S ribosomal RNA". It matches the Rfam family "Bacterial small subunit ribosomal RNA", at positions 267 to 504 of the family's 1533-position model. The record is from RNAcentral.